GUGAAAUUGUUGAAAGGGAAACGAUUGAAGCCAGUCGUACUUACGGGUAAUCAGCCUUUCGGGAGCGAUUCUGUGGGUUUUGAGGAGCUUCACGGCCCUCGGGUCUGCAUAUUCGUACCCCUUGGGUGUACUUUCCCGGUGGUAGGUUAACAUCAAUUUCGGUCGUUAUAAAAUGACUGGAGGAAUGUAGCUUCGACCUCGGUUGAAGUGUUAUAGCCUUUGGUAGAUGUAAUGAUUGGGAUUGAGGAUUGCAACGGAUACCCUCUGGGCUAUUCGUCUGAUCUCUGGAAGUUACCUUGGUGUCGAAAGCGUGCUUACGAUAUUAAGGUUGACGGCCAAUAGGUUAGAACGUGAUUAAAUUCGUUAAGGAUGUUGACGUAAUGGCUUUAAACGAC
This 395-nucleotide ribosomal RNA is filed under the name uncultured Rhizophagus. RNAcentral describes it as "eukaryotic LSU rRNA". Lineage: Eukaryota; Fungi; Glomeromycota; Glomeromycetes; Glomerales; Glomeraceae. The record is from RNAcentral.